This 347-nucleotide unclassified non-coding RNA is filed under the name soil metagenome. RNAcentral's name for it is "partial contains 5.8S ribosomal RNA, internal transcribed spacer 2, and large subunit ribosomal RNA". The stretch from base 5 to 119 matches the Rfam family "5.8S ribosomal RNA", at positions 40 to 154 of the family's 154-position model. The record is from RNAcentral.
GAUGAGAACGCAGCAAAAUGCGAUAAGUAAUGUGAAUUGCAGAAUUCAGUGAAUCAUCGAAUCUUUGAACGCACAUUGCGCCCGCUGGUAUUCCGGCGGGCAUGCCUGUUCGAGCGUCAUUUCAACCCUCAAGCCCCCGGGUUUGGUGUUGGGGAUCGGCUCUGCCCUUCUGGGCGGUGCCGCCCCCGAAAUACAUUGGCGGUCUCGCUGCAGCCUCCAUUGCGUAGUAGCUAACACCUCGCAACUGGAACGCGGCGCGGCCAUGCCGUAAAACCCCAACUUCUGAAUGUUGACCUCGGAUCAGGUAGGAAUACCAGCUGAACUUAAGCAUAUCAAUAAGCGGAGGA